This 318-nucleotide ribosomal RNA is filed under the name uncultured Treponema sp. RNAcentral's name for it is "bacterial SSU rRNA". It matches the Rfam family "Bacterial small subunit ribosomal RNA", at positions 355 to 664 of the family's 1533-position model. The record is from RNAcentral. Lineage: Bacteria; Pseudomonadati; Spirochaetota; Spirochaetia; Treponematales; Treponemataceae.
CUAAGAAUAUUCCGCAAUGGGGGAAACCCUGACGGAGCGACGCCGCGUGGACGAUGAAGGCCGGAAGGUUGUAAAGUCCUUUUAUGACAGAGGAAUAAGCGUGGGAGUGGAAAGCCCAUGUGAUGACUGUAGGUCAUGAAUAAGCACCGGCUAAUUACGUGCCAGCAGCCGCGGUAACACGUAAGGUGCGAGCGUUGUUCGGAAUCAUUGGGCGUAAAGGGUAUGUAGGCGGUCUGUCAAGCCAGGCGUGAAAGCCAGGGGCUCAACCCCUGAACUGCGCUUGGAACUGGCGGACUGGAGUCGCUGAGGGGGAACCGG